This 400-nucleotide ribosomal RNA is filed under the name uncultured bacterium. RNAcentral describes it as "bacterial SSU rRNA". It matches the Rfam family "Bacterial small subunit ribosomal RNA", at positions 356 to 773 of the family's 1533-position model. The record is from RNAcentral.
GGGGAAUAUUGCACAAUGGGGGAAACCCUGAUGCAGCGACGCCGCGUGAGUGAAGAAGUGCUUCGGCAUGUAAAGCUCUAUCAGCAGGGAAGAAGAUGACGGUACCUGACUAAGAAGCCCCGGCUAACUACGUGCCAGCAGCCGCGGUAAUACGUAGGGGGCAAGCGUUAUCCGGAUUUACUGGGUGUAAAGGGAGCGUAGGUGGUGCGGCAAGUCAGAUGUGAAAACCCGGGGCUCAACCCCGGGACUGCAUUUGAAACUGUCGUGCUAGAGUGCAGGAGAGGUAAGUGGAAUUCCUAGUGUAGCGGUGAAAUGCGUAGAUAUUAGGAGGAACACCAGUGGCGAAGGCGGCUUACUGGACUGUAACUGACACUGAGGCUCGAAAGCGUGGGGAGCAAAC